RNAcentral lists this microRNA (21 nucleotides) under Callithrix jacchus (white-tufted-ear marmoset). RNAcentral describes it as "cja-miR-9911". Lineage: Eukaryota; Metazoa; Chordata; Mammalia; Primates; Cebidae. The record is from miRBase by way of RNAcentral.
AGGGAGCAGCAGAGGACCUGG